Molecule: long non-coding RNA, 261 nt
Organism: Haliotis rubra (blacklip abalone)
Lineage: Eukaryota; Metazoa; Mollusca; Gastropoda; Lepetellida; Haliotidae
Exons: 2
Source: RefSeq, a predicted model, not a curated record
UACAGACAGGGCAAGUGGACAGUUUCUCAACACGUGUCUGGCUGUCAUGGUGUACUUGGUGUUAAGUGGCGGCAUGAUUUAGUUGCCGCUGCACAGCUUGAUUGCAUUUCUGUACAGCGUUAUAGAACUGAGUUUGGCGAAGUCUGCACCGUGACACUAACUUCCUUUCACAUGCAUAUUUGUAUGCUGCAUGGUGGUGGCUGAACGGGAAGACGGAGGAAGUUCUGAACCUGAUGUUAAUAAAAUGCUUAUAAAUAGCAA